CUGGCGGCACGCCUAACACAUGCAAGUCGAACGAAGUAGCAAUACUUAGUGGCAGACGGGUGAGUAACAUGUAGGUAUCUGCCCUUUGGCCUGGAAUAACACGGGGAAACUUGUGCUAAUACCGGAUAAGUCUUUACGGAGAAAGCUUUAUGCACCAUUGGAUGAGCCUGCACUUGAUUAGUUUGUUGGUGGGGUAAUGGCCUACCAAGACUGUGAUCAAUAGCUGAUUUGAGAGGAUGAUCAGCCACAUUGGGACUGAGACACGGCCCAAACUCCUACGGGAGGCAGCAGUGGGGAAUCUUGCACAAUGGAGGAAACUCUGAUGCAGCGAUGCCGCGUGAGUGAAGAAGGCCUUUGGGUUGUAAAGCUCUUUCGUCGGGGAAGAAAAUGACUGUACCCGAAUAAGAAGGUCCGGCUAACU
This 421-nucleotide ribosomal RNA is filed under the name uncultured bacterium. RNAcentral's name for it is "bacterial SSU rRNA". It matches the Rfam family "Bacterial small subunit ribosomal RNA", at positions 36 to 502 of the family's 1533-position model. The record is from RNAcentral.